AGUCAAUAGAUACCCAGGUAGUCCACGCCGUAAACGAUGUCGACUUGGAGGUUGUGCCCUUGAGGCGUGGCUUCCGGAGCUAAACGCGUUAAGUCGACCGCCUGGGGAGUACGGCCGCAAGGUUAAAACUCAAAUGAAUUGACGGGGGCCCGCACAAGCGGUGGAGCAUGUGGUUUAAUUCGAUGCAACGCGAAGAACCUUACCUACUCUUGACAUCCAGAGAACUUAGCAGAGAUGCUUUGGUGCCUUCGGGAACUCUGAGACAGGUGCUGCAUGGCUGCCGUCAGCUCGUGUUGUGAAAUGUUGGGUUAAGUCCCGCAACGAGCGCAACCCUUAUCCUUUGUUGCCAGCGGUUAGGCCGGGAACUCAAAGGAGACUGCCAGUGAUAAACCUGGAGGAAGGUGGGGAUGACGUCAAGUCAUCAUGGCCCUUACGAGUAGGGCUACACACGUGCUACAAUGGCGCAUACAAAGAGAAGCGACCUCGCGAGAGCAAGCGGACCUCAUAAAGUGCGUCGUAGUCCGGAUUGGA
RNAcentral lists this ribosomal RNA (531 nucleotides) under uncultured bacterium. RNAcentral's name for it is "bacterial SSU rRNA". It matches the Rfam family "Bacterial small subunit ribosomal RNA", at positions 775 to 1302 of the family's 1533-position model. The record is from RNAcentral.